Molecule: long non-coding RNA, 608 nt
Organism: Haliotis rubra (blacklip abalone)
Lineage: Eukaryota; Metazoa; Mollusca; Gastropoda; Lepetellida; Haliotidae
Exons: 2
Source: RefSeq, a predicted model, not a curated record
UUGUACUGGAUCUAUCGAUGAUCAUACAAAUGUGAUACCGAGAUGGUCCAUCUUAUCACAAGGUGACCAGCUUCAUGUUAGUUUCUGCCCGUAUAUCAGUCACAUGACCCAUGGACAGAUGUAUAAUAUAACACUGUAAUAUGUCUGCUGUACAGUAAUGUGACUAAGCUUUGUUAUACUGCCUGUAUAAGCUUUGGUGUAUGAAAUAUAAGCUUUGGUGUAUAAAAUAUAAGCUUGUGGUAUAAGACAUAAACUUUGGUAUAUGUAAUAUAAGCUUUGGUAUAUGUAAUAUAAGCUUUGGUAUAUGUAAUAUAAGCUUUGGUAUAUGUAAUAUAAGCUUUGGUGUAUGUAAUAUAAGCUUUGGUAUAUGAAAUAUAAGCUUUGGUAUAUGUAAUAUAAGCUUUGGUAUAUGUAAUGUAAGCUUUGGUAUCUGUAAUAUACGCUUUGCUUUUUGCAUGCAAUAUGCAUUCAAGUACAACGUGAGGUGCAACGAACUUCAUAAACGUAAAGUCAUAUUUCUGUAUAGAUGCAGGCAAAGUUUUAUACGUUUCAAUGCCAUUGUAGUACAUUCCUUUUGUCCUUGUCAGUAAAAUGUAUUCAAAUCACAA